UCCAGGGUCUGGCCGAUGUGGUCGUGGUGGUCGUGGGUCACCAGGAUGAGGUUGCACUCGUCCACGUCCUUGUAGGAACCGGGGGCGCUGGGA
RNAcentral lists this transfer RNA (93 nucleotides) under [Desulfovibrio] dechloracetivorans. RNAcentral's name for it is "Desulfovibrio dechloracetivorans tRNA-His". The record is from RNAcentral. Lineage: Bacteria; Pseudomonadati; Thermodesulfobacteriota; Desulfovibrionia; Desulfovibrionales; Desulfovibrionaceae.